GAUGAAGAACGUAGUGAAAUGCGAUAAGUAAUGUGAAUUGCAGAAUUCAGUGAAUCAUCGAAUCUUUGAACGCACAUUGCGCCCCUUGGUAUUCCGGGGGGCAUGCCUGUUCGAGCGUCAUUAUAACCCCUCAAGCUCAGCUUGGUGUUGGGGCCUGCCAACUGGCAGCCCUUAAAAUCAGUGGCGGCGCCAUCUGGCUCUAAGCGUAGUAAUUUCUCUCGCUAUAGGGUCCCGGUGGAUGCUUGCCAACAACCCCCAAUUUUCUAUGGUUGACCUCGGAUCAGGUAGGGAUACCCGCUGAACUUAAGCAUAUCAAUAAGCGGAGGA
Molecule: unclassified non-coding RNA, 327 nt
Filed under: soil metagenome
Description: partial contains 5.8S ribosomal RNA, internal transcribed spacer 2, and large subunit ribosomal RNA
Rfam family: 5.8S ribosomal RNA (bases 1-120)
Source: RNAcentral